RNAcentral lists this small nuclear RNA (101 nucleotides) under Catagonus wagneri (Chacoan peccary). The record is from RNAcentral. Lineage: Eukaryota; Metazoa; Chordata; Mammalia; Artiodactyla; Tayassuidae.
UUACUUUGGUGGUACCUAUACUAUAACUGGAACAAUACAGAGAAGACUCACAUGGCUCCUGCACAAGGAUGACACAAAUUCAUGAAAUGUUCCACGUUUCU